This 253-nucleotide ribosomal RNA is filed under the name uncultured bacterium. Its description in RNAcentral is "partial 16S ribosomal RNA". It matches the Rfam family "Bacterial small subunit ribosomal RNA", at positions 524 to 776 of the family's 1533-position model. The record is from RNAcentral.
GACGUAGGGCGCGAGCGUUGUCCGGAUUUAUUGGGCGUAAAGAGCUCGUAGGCGGCUUGUCGCGUCGUCCGUGAAAACCUGCGGCUCAACUGCAGGCUGGCGGUCGAUACGGGCAGGCUGGAGUUCGGUAGGGGAGACUGGAAUUCCUGGUGGAGUGGUGAAAUGCGUAGAGAUCCGGAGGAACACCGAAGGCGAAGGCAGUGUCCUGGCGAGUGACUGACGCUGAGGCGCGAAAGCUAGGGUAGCAAACGGG